GACGAACGCUGGCGGCGUGCUUAACACAUGCAAGUCGAACGGAAAGGCCCUGCUUUUGUGGGGUGCUCGAGUGGCGAACGGGUGAGUAACACGUGAGUAACCUGCCCUUGACUUUGGGAUAACUUCAGGAAACUGGGGCUAAUACCGGAUAGGAGCUCCUGCUGCAUGGUGGGGGUUGGAAAGUUUCGGCGGUUGGGGAUGGACUCGCGGCUUAUCAGCUUGUUGGUGGGGUAGUGGCUUACCAAGGCUUUGACGGGUAGCCGGCCUGAGAGGGUGACCGGCCCCAUUGGGACGGAGAUACGGCCCAGACUCGUACGGGAGGCAGCAGUGGAGAAUAUUGCACAAUGGGCGGAAGCCUGAUGCAGCAACGCCGCGUGCGGGAUGACGGCCCUCGGGUUGUAAACCGCUUUCGCCUGUAACGAAGCGUGAGUGACGGUAAUGGGUAAAGAAGCACCGGCUAACUACGUG
RNAcentral lists this ribosomal RNA (468 nucleotides) under uncultured bacterium. RNAcentral's name for it is "partial 16S ribosomal RNA". It matches the Rfam family "Bacterial small subunit ribosomal RNA", at positions 28 to 507 of the family's 1533-position model. The record is from RNAcentral.